Molecule: long non-coding RNA, 233 nt
Filed under: Ananas comosus (pineapple)
Lineage: Eukaryota; Viridiplantae; Streptophyta; Magnoliopsida; Poales; Bromeliaceae
Description: long non-coding RNA (ACOM_LNC034737)
Source: RNAcentral
CCGAGCAAUUCUGGAUGCGUGGGGAUGAUUGGAAGUGAAUUUCAGAGGUAUUUAGAUGUUUUCGGAGAAAACCGGCGCGAAAACGGAUUUUCGGAGUUGUUCUGCUGUUGAAGUGCAGAACUGGCACUGGGUACCGGUACCAGGUCGAUGCAGUACCGGUACCCUGUCAGCAAGCGAAUGUAUAGCGUACGGGGUCCGUACAGCGCGGGUUGGUACCGGUACUAAAUCUUGAG